ACCUCCCCUGGCAACCCCUCCUUUUGAGAGUAUCAGUUUUUUGUCUCCACCCCUGUUCCCCUGGUUACCCUCUGUCAAUCCCUCCCUGAGUUCCUGUCCAUCAGCCACUGUCCCCUUCCCUAUUUCCAGAAAGUUCUCCCCUCCUCGGUGGGUGACUGGAUCGGGAACAAGGGUCCCUCCCUGUCGCAUUCCCUAUUGGCAAGCCGGCAUGUUUGUCACGAGUUUGUUCCGUCCCAAGUUCUCUCUCAUUGGUUGAAAUGUUCUAUGUUCCGUCCCUUUAUAAUCGGCUGUACCCCUGCCUCGUGGUCCCGACUCGGCUGGCGUUCCCUGGAGACAUUAAAGCACUCUGGACUUUGCCCUGAUUCGGGUCCCUCUUUUCUACUUCGCCUUCUUGCUGAUCACUGCUGCCUCCUGCUGAGGCGCUGCCCGGACGCCCCCGGCGCAUCUGGGCAGUGCCCCCCGGCUGUCAGUUGCUGUGCCACAGCUCGGCCGGUGCAGCCUCCUCCCCCGCCCGGGGGAGUAGAGUAAAAACCUCAGACAGCAGCUCGGCAUGUCACAAUGUUAUUUUAAGCCAUGCACACUUGUGCUGGUUUCAGCUGAGGCAGAUUUAGUUUUCUUCCCAGUGGCUGAUGUGGGGCUGUGUUUGGGGUCUGAUCAUAGAGAGAAGGUUUUGUUAUUGCUGAGCAGGGCUCACACAGAGCCAAGGUCUUUCUUGCUUUUCCUGCUUCUGGGGAGGAGGUUGGGGGGCAGGGGACACAGCCAGGACGGGUGACCCCAGCUGACCAAAGGGAUAUCCCAGUGACGUCCUGCUCAGGAUAUGAAGAGUAGGGAAGAAGGAGGAAGAGGGGACAUUUGGAGUGAUGGGGUUUGUGUUCUCAUAUCACUGUUAGGUGUGAUGGGAAUCCCUGCUCUCCUGGGGAUGCUGAGCACCUGUCCAUGGGAAAAACUGAAUUAAUUCCUUGUUUUGCUUUGCUUGUGUGCAGUCUUUGCUUUCCCCAUUGAACUGUCUUUGUCUUGACCCAUGAGUUUUCCAGCUUUUACUCUUCCAAUUCUCUCCCUGAUCCUCCUGACGGGUCAGUGAGUGAGGGGCUGUGUGGGGCUGGGCUGCUGGCUGGGAUUAAACCAUGACUACAUAAAGAAUUUCAUUUUGGCUCCUACAGAUAUCAAGAAAUUUCAGAUGAAUUUAUCUGCUCAUCCACAUACAUCUAAACUCACAUUUAUAGCUCAAUUUCUCUUCAUGAACAUAAAAAACUUCCCAAAAGGUCCAAUUUUUUAAACUAAAUUAAUUUUCCUAUUUUUAUGACAUAGAACCUUAUGUACAAUAAUUUCCAAGAAACACAGUAAGUUUGUUAUUGUCAAGUAAGAGACCAUAAGACAGAUAUAGCACUACCAGAAACAACAAAACUUCCUGUUUAAACAAGCUAUUAUACAGGCAUAAAUAAUCCCAAAGUACGAUUUUAUAUUUACAUCAUAUGUUGGGAUUUCUUAUAAUACUUUCAACAGGCCACAACCCUUUUUUUUUUAUCUAUUAAUUUUCAGUUUGGCACCCAAGUAAAAAAAAAUCCACAGAUGACACACAAAGUGACCUCUCUUCUCACUGGUUUCUGACAAGGACUUUAGCACAGUGAUACCUGCUGUAUAUUUAAUUUUUGUAAAACCAUCUUUCUUAAUUUUCUUGCUGUUUGAGAAUCUAAGAUGUGUGUGCUUGGAACAACACUGACAUUAAUAAAAAGGUCAAAUAAAAGUGCUUAUAAUGAGCCAACAAAGUUGGGAUCUGAGCCAGACAUUUAUGGACUAGCUUUGGCAUAAAAGGACACUUUCCACUCUUCUGAAAGCCAGAUGGACUUGGUUGCUCUCCUCACCACUGCAGUCAGAAUUCUUUGAUGAUUCUGGAGCUAGCAAAUUGCUUUUUAACCAAUUAUUCAGUUCCUCCCUUACAUUGCUACCAGGAAUUGGAGCACUGUGCUCUUCUGUCCCCGGCUUUAUCUCAGAUUUGCAUAGGCAACACUCUCGGCUACCUCUGGAAGAAGAAUAAAGGAGGGGAUAAUUCCGUACAAAGGCCUCCAGCCUCUGAACAGUAGCAGAUGAGAAAAUUACCAGCAACCAUCCUUGGUUUGGCACUCUAGAAGAGUUUGCUGGGGCAAGUAAAGUCUAGGAGAAAAUGAGAGCAAAUGCUGAGUAGACAGUGGAAUUGGCACAUUGACCUCAAUAUUAAUGGAAAUAUUGCUGCAUUAAUUCUUCCUCUGUGCUUCAGACAUUUUCUUGGACAAACCCUGGCAUUAAUCUCCCUACGUAUUUUUUCCUCCCUAGCUGGUGUCUUUUAGUGGGAUACUACUACAGAGUAAGGUAUUACUCACACUAAGCCACUGCUUUGGAUCUGUUUGGGAGGAGCUAAACGUGAACUGAGCAGUGACAGGAGAGAGGAGACACAUCAGAAACGUGGCAUCCAGAAGAGGAUAAAGAAUGGAACUUCCCACUCCCGUGCCAAGAUUCAGCAGCAUUCUGAUGAGAAAUGAGAGAUGGUCUUGGAAAAGACUUUGGGAACUUUUAGGAUAAAGAAGAACACACUUUCUCUAGAGUUUGGAUUUGAGUCACCAGGAGGAGGAUGAGAAUUUCCCUGUGAGCUCAGAAGACUUCGUUGUUUGGAGACCAACACUGAGGAACCUACUCAGAGGGUCACUCCUGCAUGGUGAGUGGAUGCACUUCCAGGUGCACCUGAUCAACAGGAAUACAAAAUCUACUGGAAUACUUGCAGAAAAAUCCAGGUUGGGAGAUUACAAGAUUCAAACACAGGAAUGCAAAACCACAACAUUCCCUUCCAAAAACCCCAGAAAGCAGGAAAGGAGCCCUGGGAAUAAAAUCUUCAAGUAAAUCCAGUGCUCCAACUGCAUUUAUUUGUUUCAAAGCCCAAACUGUGGGAGAAGGAACAGUUCCAGUGAAUGUUAAAAUCAGUGACAUUCUUCUGCUGACUGAAGACAAGGUUGACUCAAGCCAUCCAAUCUCAGGUGGUGGAAUUUAACUCCUGUACUUUGGAGAACCAGUGACUGGGAUGCCUGGUAGCUCCUCAGUUCCUUUCCCUAAAGAACAGGGCAAUUCCAGAAUGGAGUUCAGAGGAAGGCUGGAUGGACACAAAUAGCUAAAUAUUGAAAUUACAAAUGAUGGCUGAGUCAUGAAAUGCAGCACAGCACGAGGAGGCCUCUCCUGACAUCAACAACCACCAGUUCUAAAAGUCAGAUUUAGCUUCAAAACUCUCAUCUCUUCACCCCAGAUCUCAUCUGAUCCUGUGCAUUCCAGCAGUACACUAAAUAUAUAUAUUAAAAAAAAUUGUAAUGGAAAUCAGUAUUUUGUAGGAACAGAUCUUACAAUUGGCCUCUGGAGCCUGAUAUUUCUCACAUAACUUCAGCCCUGUUAUUCUUCUCAGGAGGUGGGGGAGUGCUUAAUGCCAUGUUCUGUCAGGUUAUUGCUGUCAUCUCAUAUUUAAUUAACAAGUAAAUGAGAGAUGCAAGCACCUGCUUGAACCUCUGUUAGCUGCAAGAGCUUCCUGAGUGAAGAUUUCAGCUGAGUGGUGGCAUGGAACCAGCAGUGCCAUUUCAGUGGUGUGGAGAGAGGAUGACAGAGCAGGUCUGAGGAGCCCUAACUGAGGCUGCUGCUAGGGAGAAACUCCUAGAGACAAAAAUGGCUGUGUCCUAUUUGCUACUGAUGUGUUUUGAAAUAGAAUAUUCAAUAUAAAGGAUGACACUGGAAAUCUAGCCAAAACAGGGUACGAAUGCAAUUUUAUAAACCAAAAAUAUUUCUGAAAAUUAAAUGGGUGUUCUUCUGUUUUAGGGCUGAACAGGCUCAUCCCCCUCAAAUGUUCUGUUGUUUCCCACAGAUGUGUAGCUUCCUUAUACUUCAUACUCUUUUUGGUCUGUAAAAGCUGACAUUGUUUGUGGACAUGCCUAUUAUGUGGCAACCCAAAUUUUUGUUCAAUAUUAAUUUUUAUUUUGUUUUCUUUAGCAGGUAAGAGUUCACAAACAGAAGGGAGCUCCUCUAAGUCCACAUCUUUAGCCACCUGAAUGGCUUCUUUCAAUUCCUUCAGUCCCAUGAGAGUAUUCCAAGUACUUUUUUUUUUCUUUUAAGCUUUCAUUUCCUCCCACUUGUCUUCCACUUACACAGAAGACUAUUUUUUCCCCACUGAAAAUGUCAACAUUUAUUGCUUUGUUGGGCCAGCCCUGAAGAAACCAAAAUUGACCCAAGGUGUCAAAUCUGCUUUCUUCCUUUUCCUGCUCUCCCACCCUUUCCCAUAAAUUAAAGCAAGUUUGAAUAAAAACCUUGCUGUGAGUCCUAGAACAGGUAGAUCUCUGUCAACAUUUUAUUAUGCCUUCUCAUCCAAGCUUUGAAUACAUACUGGAAAAAUUUGCAAAAAAUUUAUCUUUUCAUCAAUUUUACCAAUUAACUUUUAGUGUCAUCAUAAUUAUUACACCUUAUGUGGGUAGACUCUUCACAUGGGAAGGGAUGAAAAAAAUUGCAUGGAAGAAAACAAUAAUGAAAGGAGCACUUGUGAAGGUUCAAGUUAUAAAGUGCCAGUGGAUGUACCUGAGCAAUUUUCCCAGUUUUGGGUUAAGACCAAGGGAAUAUAUUUUCUAUUUGCCUGCACUGAUCAAAUAGCUGAAUAGUAAAGAUAUUAGAGCCUUGAUUCUGAUUUCCUUCUACAACCUCAUCCUAUGCUGAUAUAGCUGUCAUCAUAACAUCCAAGUACCAGGGAUAUGACCACCAUAGAUACUGAUUGUAUAAGUAGCUGGAUAAAAAUGGAAGAUCUAGGAUUUAUUUCCUGUUGCUAAGCAGGUAUGUGCAUUUUUUUUAAUUAAAAUCAGAUUUUUAUCAUCAUCUCUGUUGUAAUACCAAGAACACUACCACAGCUUUUGUUAUAAUUACUCUCUAACUACACACAGCUAUCAUAGAGAUGAGGAGAUCAGUGAAAGCCAAGUGAUUAACUUCAGUUGUAAGACUGUGGGAAAGAAUCUAUUUCAGCCUUAACCACGUGCUGCUUCUCAUGACAAAUCUGUGGCCACGUGAGUUUUUCACAUGUAUAAUUCCACCCAAAAAGUAACCAGCUCCUUAUAGCAUUCCACUGAUGCUUUGAUGUUCAUCUUCUGCACACCUUGGCCUGCUGGUGUCUGAAAAGGCCACUCACAGAUAGAGAGAUGAGAAUGUUCUUUAUAGUGCACACUGGGAAGCACAAGGCUUGUGUCAUUCCUGAGAUAGUUCAGCUUUUCACUUCUGGACUGAUUUAUUUUAUUACUUCAGGCUCCCAGUUCACCAGCAAAGUGAUUUGUGUGCACUCUGGCCAGUUCAGGUGUCAGCUCCCAGCCAGGUACUGAGCAGGGAUUCCCAGCAGAGCCCUGUAAAACUGCCCAGAGCACUCCCUCUCCAUAAGAACUUCUUUUCAGAGCACUUGGGAAGGCGUCCUCCUGGUCAGCAAAGGUGUGGGAGUGUUUGGACUGGCAGUUCUCCCUGGGACAAAGACCUGCUGGCUGCAAAAUGUGCUCUGAAAAUGGUGUUCAGAGCAGGAGGCCUCGGGGGCUUUGUAGGGCAGGAUUUCAGCUGGAACUGCUGGAAAACCAGGGCCAUCAGGCCUGGGCUGUGGUAUCAGAGGGCUAUCAGCCUCAAUGAAUCAUUUCAUCUCAUGGAAAGUGCCCUCCUAGCUGAGAUUGGCCUUACACCCAGGGCUGGUUCCCACAGGAGCAGGUGUCACUGUGUGGGCCAUCCAUACACCUCUCCAAAGAAGCUGAGACUCACAAAUCCCCUGGUUGAAAGCCUGCAAAAACAAAACAAAGUUCUCUGACCUACCCUAAUCUUACCCUCAUGCCAUUUUAUUUCAACACCCAGAAACCAAAGAAAGCUGUUGAGAAGAGAAAUCCGCUCAAUGUCAGUAAAUUUAACACCUUUUCUAACUGCCACCAAGAAAAACAUUGAAAAAUGCUCAUAUUUUCAACUCCUGUAUUUCAAGUUGCUCUAUUCUUUAUGGCCAUCUAUCCACAAAUUUUGUGAAACAGGGGAACAGUUCUAUUAUGACUUGGAAACCUGUAUUUCAUUCUCUUUUAUUUAGCUCAAACUUUCUGUCCCCAUGCCUCCAUCCUGCUGUAGGCUCAGUAUAAAUUCUUUCUUGUUGUCCAUUUCAAAAUAUCCUUAUUGUGGAAGUUCUAUUCCCUUAUAUUUGCCACCCUUCAAGACAUUUGACAAUUAUUUGACAAUUGAAAGUUCAAGCUAACUGAAACAGUUGAAAAAAAAAACUUUAGAUUUUCUAGAUUGAGUAUCUUCAUCUUUUCUUUUUUCCUUCUGUUACUUCAUAGUGACAAAGAAAAGAGAAGAAGGGAUAAAAAAGAAAAAUGAGAUGGGAAAGGAAAAUAUAUAGGAUCUGGAAAUAGCAAUUUUUUUAGUAAAUUAUUUGGGUUUUUAAAUCAGCUUCAUGGCUAUCUCAACCAACAUAAAAGUUUGAAUCAACUCUCUUCAUUAUGCAGACUUGAGAAGAUUUAUUGCAGCUGUGUCCUGAUGUGUUUGUACUGAGUGUGGAACGAAGAGGAGAAAAGAGGAAAUGAAUAAUGAGGCUUGCUGUCUCUGACAUGCCAUCCCAACGCACUGGGAUCUUCUCUGAUGUUUUCUCAGUUUGUUUUCAUAAAAAUUCAUAAGUUCUGCAUUUGAAUUUGAGUUCUGGCUUGAAUAAAUCCCAUGACUUGCAGCAAAGUGUAGCUAAGACUGCCAAAAUUUCAUGCAGCUGUAAAUCAAGACCACUCAGGAUUCCUGCUAUCACCACCUAAAACAAUAGAUUGGCCAGGUUCUCUUCAAAUGUGACAAGUGUGUCCCAAAAUUCAGUGUGAAUACUCUGGCCCAAGCAGAAAACCAGUAAUAUUCUAAAAUUAAAUGGAGUUCUGUCUAGACUGAUUGUUCAGUUCUGAUGAAUGGAAGUAACUGCACAACAGGAAACCAAGCAGUGCUGCUUUGCUCCCUACUCAGCAUAUUUUGCCCAUUUAAAAUUUAUCUUUGCAUUAUAAUAUAAAAUAAUUUUUAGACAAAAUUAGGCUAUGAAAACAAAAAUCAGAGGUGUUUCCAAAACCAGCAUGGGCCCCACAAGUUGCUUAGAGCUCUCUUUGAACACUGGUAGUUUCUCAUGGAUUUUUUUUUUUGCCUUACUCCUUGUUGUAGGAACACUAGGAAGGAGAUUGGUGAUUUGCCAUUGAUGCACAUUUUAUAUAUGAAAAAUAAAAUAGUAAGAAAAAUAUAAAUUAUGAAAGCAGAGAAUCAGCCCAUGUAUGUUCAGUUUACCACAAUAUUUCAGAGUCUUCCUGCAAUCACAAAUAAGACACUGAGUAAAUUACAUCAGCAGUAGUAAGAGAAACAGUCAAUUUCUUUUCCCUUGCAGGAAAAAAAUCUGUAUAUAAUGGAAUGACAGUUUAUGUAUCUUGUCACAACAGGGAAAGAAAAAAUAAUUUAACGUUUUCAUUUUGCUCAGUUUCUACAUGAUUUUGUGACGAACUAGUAAGCUUCUAGAAAACUUCAGGAUAUAUCUAUUGUCUAUAUGAAAAAGUUGAUUUUUCAUACCCAUCUCAAGUGAAAAGGUAGUGUGAUGUAUAUUUUAUUUAAAUAUAUGAACACCUUAAUUGUUCUUUUGAAAUUAAUAAACAUGUGGAAUUUGGGUUUGCACAGAGAGGGCUGCAUAUGAAGUUCUAUUUAGACAAAACUUGGAAUUCAAGCAUUCUGUAACUGUAAGAAAAGAUGUACCUGUUUAAAAGCAAGGGAACUCAAGUGCAAAUUUCAAAGAGAACUACCACUGUUUAUGUAUUAGCUUUCAAAAUUCAAACUGUAAAUAAAGAAAGCUCCUAAAACUGCCCUUUACAAAUGGACUUUAGUGUGAUGAUACCUGGGGCCAGUCAGAGUUUAAGUCAAAAUUUACAGGCUCCAAACUACAUUGGUUUGACAGGGAGGAGAACUUCUUUUACGCUCAGCUGCUGGGAAACUUCUUCUGCACAGCCCAUUGUGUCUAAAGACGAACCACAGAGCCCAGAGAUUGCUCCUCCAAAGGCUUCACUCUCCUAGCUGUUCCUAGAACGUGUCUAAGUCAGGCCAUCAGGAUUCAGGACAAAAUUCAGCUGGAGCUGCCUCUCUUUAAAAAGAGAAGGCAGGCUCAGAAACUGCUGUUGCAGUGGAGGAAUUGAUGCUGAAGGAAUGGAAAAAAGCUCCCGUUUGACCUGGAACAGAGAGUUCUUAGAGAGCAUGGUCAGGGAGAGAGGCCCUGUGCUUCCAAAAUACAGCUCAGAAACCAUUCUAAGCUACCUUUUAAACUUUGAAUAUUUAAGGACGUUUUUAUUAAUUAAUUUCUCUAAUUAAUUGCUAGAAAACACAAAAUUCAGAGAAAGGCAGCUGCCAUUUGCUACCUGUAGACAAAGGGAUAAAACCACAGCGAAACAUGAAUUUUCAUUGGAUGUUAAGUGGGAAUGAGAAUGUACUUCUUUGGGAAGGAGUUUUUCUGUAGAGGAAAGCCAUCAGAAAUUUCUAUCUGUGACAAUGCCA
Passer domesticus (house sparrow) is the source of this 8547-nucleotide long non-coding RNA. RefSeq lists it as uncharacterized. The record is from RefSeq and is a predicted model, not a curated record. The transcript is spliced from 4 exons. NCBI's taxonomy places the organism in Eukaryota, Metazoa, Chordata, Aves, Passeriformes, Passeridae.